RNAcentral lists this transfer RNA (77 nucleotides) under Planotetraspora thailandica. Its description in RNAcentral is "tRNA-Glu". The record is from RNAcentral. Lineage: Bacteria; Bacillati; Actinomycetota; Actinomycetes; Streptosporangiales; Streptosporangiaceae.
UCGACGGAAAGGGUGGUCUGGGAGAGCCAGACGACCUUCUCGGGGUCGCGGACCUCGAUCGUCUCGACGCUGUCGAG